GCUAUACAUGCAGUCGAACGGCAGCACGGGUAGCAAUACCUGGUGGCGAGUGGCGCACGGGUGCGUAACGCGUAUGCAAUCUACCUAUAACUGGGGAAUAGCCUUCCGAAAGGAAGAUUAAUACCGCAUAAUAUCACGAAACGGCAUCGCUUUGUGAUCAAAUCUCCGGAGGUUAUAGAUGAGCAUGCGUGACAUUAGCUAGUUGGUGAGGUAACGGCUCACCAAGGCGACGAUGUCUAGGGGGUCUGAGAGGAUGAUCCCCCACACUGGUACUGAGACACGGACCAGACUCCUACGGGAGGCAGCAGUAAGGAAUAUUGGACAAUGGCCGCAAGGCUGAUCCAGCCAUGCCGCGUGCAGGAUGAAGGUGCUCUGCAUUGUAAACUGCUUUUGUUUGGGAAUAAACCCCUCUACGUGUAGAGGGCUGAAUGUACCAAAAGAAUAAGGGACGGCUAACUUCGUGCCAGCAGCCGCGGUAAUACGAAGGUCCCAAGCGUUAUCCGGAUUUAUUGGGUUUAAAGGGUGCGUAGGCGGGUUAUUAAGUCAGUGGUGAAAGCCUACAGCUUAACUGUAGAAUUGCCAUUGAUACUGAUGAUCUUGAGUAUGAUUGAGGUUGGCGGAAUGUGUCAUGUAGCGGUGAAAUGCUUAGAUAUGACACAGAACACCGAUUGCGAAGGCAGCUAACUAAGCCAUAACUGACGCUGAUGCACGAAAGCGUGGGGAGCAAACAGGAUUAGAUACCCUGGUAGUC
Molecule: ribosomal RNA, 751 nt
Filed under: uncultured bacterium
Lineage: Bacteria
Description: bacterial SSU rRNA
Rfam family: Bacterial small subunit ribosomal RNA
Source: RNAcentral